CGUCUGCGCUUCAUUCGGGUGACAGCGGUGUCAGGAGGCAGAGGCAUGGCUGGCUAAUCGAGCCAGUAGAGAGUUAUUAUAACAUAUUUUGGAUUGGAACGCAGGAAGAGUAUCAAGAAGAAGCAGUUGGAACAGAGAAACUCUGUCAUAGGUAGCAGUGUCAGCAGCAAGUAUUGCCGGCGAUGAGCAAAGACUGGCAGGAGGCAGGCACGUGCAGAGGAGCGGAGAGGGAUGGUUGCUGGUGUCGGCUGUCACAACGUACCAACGAGCAGUGGGUGUUCCGCGCUCGCCUCCAGCUGCCACCUCGGUAGUACUCGUACAUACUUGCUGAUUGGGAGCUUCAGUGCUGCAGAGAAGAACAGGCAAACAUGACCAUGGGACUGUGUUGGAGAUGGAAGCACUUCAGCAGUAGCAGCCUGACUUGAAGGUUAGCACAUCAUCCACUCGGCUGGUCCGUGUAUUCAAGACGAACGUCCAGCAGCACUGAAGUAUAGGAAGAUUUACACCUGCCCUGCUAUUCUCUACAGGUCAUCAUGUCUGCUAAGAGGAGUGACGUGGUUCUCGAAGUGUCUCGUGUCUUCAAUCGUGAGUGGAAGGAAGAAGUCCUUUAUCGCAUUUUUGGAAAGGUUCAUCUGCCUCACGAAGUCCGAAGGGGUCUUUUCAAAGAGAUCAACAUGUGCUGCCCAAAUGGAAGACAGGGUAUCAAAUGUCGACGAAUCGUCUGUUGUCAAGAGGCGCUUCACCAGAUCUAGUGACAAGUUUGAGGACAUAGGAAAGAUCAAGAGAGAGGAGCAAGUGUGAAGGCUACAACCUAGAGGAAAAAAAAAUCUCUCUCUCUCUCUCUCUCUCUCUCUCUC
Portunus trituberculatus (swimming crab) is the source of this 857-nucleotide long non-coding RNA. RefSeq lists it as uncharacterized. The record is from RefSeq and is a predicted model, not a curated record. The transcript has 4 exons. NCBI's taxonomy places the organism in Eukaryota, Metazoa, Arthropoda, Malacostraca, Decapoda, Portunidae.